This 513-nucleotide ribosomal RNA is filed under the name Halomonas sp. D50. RNAcentral's name for it is "bacterial SSU rRNA". It matches the Rfam family "Bacterial small subunit ribosomal RNA", at positions 535 to 1047 of the family's 1533-position model. The record is from RNAcentral. Lineage: Bacteria; Pseudomonadati; Pseudomonadota; Gammaproteobacteria; Oceanospirillales; Halomonadaceae.
CAAGCGUUAAUCGGAAUUACUGGGCGUAAAGCGCGCGUAGGUGGCUUGAUAAGCCGGUUGUGAAAGCCCCGGGCUCAACCUGGGAACGGCAUCCGGAACUGUCAGGCUAGAGUGCAGGAGAGGAAGGUAGAAUUCCCGGUGUAGCGGUGAAAUGCGUAGAGAUCGGGAGGAAUACCAGUGGCGAAGGCGGCCUUCUGGACUGACACUGACACUGAGGUGCGAAAGCGUGGGUAGCAAACAGGAUUAGAUACCCUGGUAGUCCACGCCGUAAACGAUGUCGACCAGCCGUUGGGUGCCUAGUGCACUUUGUGGCGAAGUUAACGCGAUAAGUCGACCGCCUGGGGAGUACGGCCGCAAGGUUAAAACUCAAAUGAAUUGACGGGGGCCCGCACAAGCGGUGGAGCAUGUGGUUUAAUUCGAUGCAACGCGAAGAACCUUACCUACUCUUGACAUCUACAGAAGCCGGAAGAGAUUCUGGUGUGCCUUCGGGAACUGUAAGACAGGUGCUGCAUG